RNAcentral lists this long non-coding RNA (945 nucleotides) under Papio anubis (olive baboon). Its description in RNAcentral is "lncRNA (ENSPANG00000039975.1)". Lineage: Eukaryota; Metazoa; Chordata; Mammalia; Primates; Cercopithecidae. The record is from RNAcentral.
UUUCAGCCCUAUUGUGUCCCCUUCAUUUUUCUACCAAGCCUAGACUUGACAUUUUUAAAGGGAGCAUGAUUCCACAAGUCCAUCAUUAUUUCUUUAUGGCUUAUACAAUGUUAUUUCAAUAUUGUUUAAGGUAUUUUGAAGUGUUAAUGAGUAGAGAAUGUUUAGAUGGUAGAAUCCAAUCUAGAUAAUUAGUAUUAACUCUUAUGAAAAUAUUUUUUCUUUCAACUUUUUACAUUAACAAAAAUGCACCCCUGCCGUGUACAUGUAGAUUCCCAUAUGUCGGUUCCAGGUAGUGUCUGACCCAGCUGGCUAUCCUGGAAGAUAGUUCACCAAAAGCAGUGAGGGGCUUGCAGAUAAUGUGGAGUGAACCUCAUGAGGUCAAUCCAGUGGAAGGAGCAGGAAUGGAACAGAAAGGCUACAUGCAUCAUUUGGGGCCUUUGUAUAAGAAUGCUUUAAUCCUAGCUGCUACUGAUGGAAUAACCUUAGUGAGUAUUUUGAGAAGAUGAAAAUUGAGAGUUGAAGGAAAAACCAAGGUCAUGAGUCUCAUAAGCAGCAAAGACAGAAUUUAAAUCUACUCUGAGAACACUUUCUAGCCUCUCUACUGCCUUCACUCCAGCUAGAAGCUUUAGUUGCUGCUUACCAAAUUCCAAACCUCUGCUAGUGACAUUCUUCCACUUGAAGAGCCUUUGACUUCCUUUCUGCCGCUCUGGAUCCCAGAUUACAACUGGAUGUAAUCCCCAUGUACCCUAAAAGUCACCCCCAUGUGCAAUCUACUCGUGUGUUCAGAACUCCCCAGAUUUUACACUUUGAACCAAUCUGCAGUACUGCCCAUUACAGCACAGGUGUGCCCAAUCUCCCCAGCUGACUCAUAAGCUUUCUCAGACCUGUUGCUUUCAUUCUCUCACCUGCUAAGCCUAGCCUAGAUAGUCUUAAUAAAUAUUUCUG